CGUAACAAGGUUUCCGUAGGUGAACCUGCGGAAGGAUCAUUACUGAUUUGCUUAAUUGCACCACAUGUGUUUUUCUUUGAAACAAACUUGCUUUGGCGGUGGGCCCAGCCUGCCGCCAGAGGUCUAAACUUACAACCAAUUUUUUAUCAACUUGUCACACCAGAUUAUUACUAAUAGUCAAAACUUUCAACAACGGAUCUCUUGGUUCUCGCAUCGAUGAAGAACGCAGCGAAAUGCGAUACGUAAUAUGAAUUGCAGAUAUUCGUGAAUCAUCGAAUCUUUGAACGCACAUUGCGCCCUCUGGUAUUCCGGAGGGCAUGCCUGUUUGAGCGUCGUUUCUCCCUCAAACCGCUGGGUUUGGUGUUGAGCAAUACGACUUGGGUUUGCUUGAAAGACGGUAGUGGUAAGGCGGGAUCGCUUUGACAAUGGCUUAGGUCUAACCAAAAACAUUGCUUGCGGCGGUAACGUCCACCACGUAUAUCUUCAAACUUUGACCUCAAAUCAGGUAGGACUACCCGCUGAACUUAAGCAUAUCAAUA
This 539-nucleotide unclassified non-coding RNA is filed under the name Candida albicans. RNAcentral describes it as "sequence contains 18S rRNA gene, ITS1, 5.8S rRNA gene, ITS2, 28S rRNA gene". The stretch from base 182 to 335 matches the Rfam family "5.8S ribosomal RNA". Lineage: Eukaryota; Fungi; Ascomycota; Pichiomycetes; Serinales; Debaryomycetaceae. The record is from RNAcentral.